GUGGGCAAACAUCUCAUUCUCUGAAGGCUCCAGGAUUGCCUUGGAAAAACAUCCAUUUUGCACACUGAAUAUAUGGUGGGCACUCUUUUUCCUGCCUUCUCUCCCUGCCCAGAUCCCC
Long non-coding RNA from Calypte anna (Anna's hummingbird), 118 nucleotides. RefSeq lists it as uncharacterized. The transcript is spliced from 3 exons. The record is from RefSeq and is a predicted model, not a curated record. Lineage: Eukaryota; Metazoa; Chordata; Aves; Apodiformes; Trochilidae.